UCGUAACAAGGUUUCCCGUAGCAUAAGUUUGGAACAUGAUUCUUCCAUAGGUAACUUAUAGAAGCCUUAGUAUCCCAGCAAUGGGAGGCCACGCGACUAAAAAGAAUGCGGCCGUUUACUAGUUGACUCUGGUCAGCAACACAACCAAACUGUUUGGGAACACCCAAGGAUCUUCAACCCUUUCUGUAGUAAUUACUGUUAGGACCAUAGACAUGGGUGACCCACAGCGAAUACCUCUAGGCAUUUCAAAUGCCAUUAGGGAACGUUCACAGACUAAGUGGUUGUGGGUAGAGUAGUUUAUAUGCUCUAUUUGAGAUAUAGUCGGGCCUGAAGGUAAUUUUUCAGGUUAUUAUACAUCAUUAAAUUGUCCUUAAAAGAUGAUAUAAAUUAAAUACCCGUUCCGUAGGUGAACCUGCGGAAGGAUCAUUACCGAGAACAUGCCCUUUGGGGUAUAUCUCCCACCCUUUGUUUACAAUACCUUUGUUGCUUUGGCGGGCCCGUCUUAUGACCACCGGCAUUAGCUGGUCUGUGCCUGCCAAAGGACCCUAAAACUCUUUUAUUAUGUUGUCCGAGUCUUAUAUAAUAGUUAAAACUUUCAACAACGGAUCUCUUGGUUCUGGCAUCGAUGAAGAACGCAGCGAAAUGCGAUAAGUAAUGUGAAUUGCAGAAUUCAGUGAAUCAUCGAAUCUUUGAACGCACAUUGCACCCUCUGGUAUUCCGGGGGGUAUGCCUGUUCGAGCGUCAUUGCAACCCUCAAGCACUGCUUGGUAUUGGAUGCUACCACAUGGUGCAUCUCAAAAAUAUUGGCAGUGGCAUUCAGCUUCUAGUGUAGUACUUUUUCUCGCUUAGGAGUCUUUGAGUGUCUUACUGCUAGAAUCCUCUAAUUCAUCACAAAGGUUGACCUCGGAUCAGGUAGGGAUACCCGCUGAACUUAAGCAUAUCAAUAAGCGGAGGAAAAGAAACCAACAGGGAUUGCCUUAGUAACGGCGAGUGAAGCGGCAACAGCUCAAAUUUGAAAUCUGGCCUCAUGGCCCGAGUUGUAAUUUGUAGAGGAUGCUUCGAGCAUGGUCCGGUCUAAGUUCCUUGGAACAGGAUGUCGUAGAGGGUGAGAAUCCCGUAUGUGACUGGGUGCCUAAGCUCAUGUGAAGUUCCUUCGACGAGUCGAGUUGUUUGGGAAUGCAGCUCAAAAUGGGUGGUAAAUUUCAUCUAAAGCUAAAUACUGGCCAGAGACCGAUAGCGCACAAGUAGAGUGAUCGAAAGAUGAAAAGCACUUUGGAAAGAGAGUUAAACAGUACGUGAAAUUGUUGAAAGGGAAGCGCUUGCAACCAGACUUGCAUGCAAUUGAUCAUCCAAUGUUCUCACUGGUGCACUCGAUUGUAUUCAGGCCAGCAUUGGUUUUGGUGGUUAGAUAAAGGCCAGGGGAAUGUAGCUUCUCUCGGGAAGUGUUAUAGCCCUUGGUGCAAUGUAGCCUACUGGGACUGAGGACCGCGCUUUGGCUAGGAUGCUGGCGUAAUGGUUGUAAGCGACC
Molecule: ribosomal RNA, 1528 nt
Filed under: uncultured fungus
Lineage: Eukaryota; Fungi
Description: eukaryotic LSU rRNA
Rfam family: Eukaryotic large subunit ribosomal RNA (bases 899-1528)
Source: RNAcentral